RNAcentral lists this ribosomal RNA (253 nucleotides) under uncultured bacterium. Its description in RNAcentral is "partial 16S ribosomal RNA". It matches the Rfam family "Bacterial small subunit ribosomal RNA", at positions 524 to 776 of the family's 1533-position model. The record is from RNAcentral.
UACGAAGGGGGCGAGCGUUGUUCGGAUUUACUGGGCGUAAAGCGCACGUAGGCGGCUUUCUAAGUCGGGGGUGAAAUCCUGGAGCUCAACUCCAGAACUGCCUUCGAUACUGGAGAGCUUGAGUCCGGGAGAGGUGAGUGGAACUGCGAGUGUAGAGGUGAAAUUCGUAGAUAUUCGCAAGAACACCAGUGGCGAAGGCGGCUCACUGGCCCGGUACUGACGCUGAGGUGCGAAAGCGUGGGGAGCAAACAGG